AGCAGUGUGGCUCAGUGGAAAGAGCACGGACUUGGGAUUCAGAGGUCAUGAGUUUGAAUCCCUGCUCUGCCA
RNAcentral lists this transfer RNA (72 nucleotides) under Ornithorhynchus anatinus (platypus). It matches the Rfam family "tRNA". Rfam says of the family: Transfer RNA (tRNA) molecules are approximately 80 nucleotides in length. Their secondary structure includes four short double-helical elements and three loops (D, anti-codon, and T loops). The record is from Rfam by way of RNAcentral. Lineage: Eukaryota; Metazoa; Chordata; Mammalia; Monotremata; Ornithorhynchidae.